AACUCCCGUGCUGAUCAGUAGUGGG
This 25-nucleotide non-coding RNA is filed under the name Macaca fascicularis (crab-eating macaque). The record is from RNAcentral. Lineage: Eukaryota; Metazoa; Chordata; Mammalia; Primates; Cercopithecidae. RNAcentral also lists the same sequence under 2 other names.